CCUCAUCACGCCGCUGCCGCCCACAUCCCGUUUCUCCGGCCCCGUUCUCAGUGACAUGGCGCUGGUGCAGGCACUGGAGCGGAGCUGUUGCCCCCGGGCUCUGUGGUGUGAUGGAACCAAGCACAAAGAUGUGUGAAAUGUGCCUCAACGACAGGAGGUCACAACAUAGGGAAGAUUCUUGUCGCAAACUGAGGAGAAAUUGCAUGCAGAGUGAUGCGAACAGCAAAGAAAAUGGGUGUGGAGUCUGUAGCAGUUUAUAGUGAAGCAGACAGAAACUCCAUGCACGUAGCAAUGGUGAAGUAUAUUAUUUUUGAUUGAUGUUCAUUAACAACACUAUUUCUCAUUGAUAAGUAAAACAUGCAAGUAGAUUUAUGUGCCAAUGCAGUUGAUUUUCACAUCUGUAGAGUGACUUCCAAGUUUUUCUUGAAUCAUUGAAUAUUUUGUCUAGUCUCUGUCUCAACACUUGACAGCUUUACAGGAAGUGCAUUAAGAUUUGGCUUUCUAAUGCUGGAGUAGGCAGAAAGUUAGAGAAGGGACUCUGGUUUGGGGAAAUAAGUCAAAACUGUUUCACCCAGCUGAGUAUGAAGAGGCAGUGAUGUAAACUGUUGCAUGCUAGCAAUCUGAUAAACAAUGUAAUUGGCUCAGAAAUUCAGUUAAAUUUGCUUUUUAUUAUCUAUUAAACAUCCUGUAUUAAAUGUAUUUUUUCUAUAAUGGGCACAUGAAGCAUAUUGCAUUGGUCCAGCACCCUCACAGCAGAGUUACUUGGCCUCAGAAAAAAUAAUGCAAGUGACCAAGGCCUCAGCAGCUCAGGCAAGUAGACCAUGACCUUAAAUCUUCUGUUACUAUCAUGCUCUUUAGCUCUUUAUUUUUGCCUGGGGUGCUUCCAUCUUGUGUUGCCUUAAGAGUUUGCAGAGUUGUGCAAGUGAGAAAGAAUCAUCUCCAUAGGUCCACCUUCAUCUGCUAUCAGAGAUACAGGUACUAAGAGGUAUCUGUUUCUGCUUUUUACUUGGCUAUGCAGUUUACAGUUUGCCAAAGCUUAUUUUGUUAACAAAUGAUCAGCUGCUUCAUAAUUGUUUUAUUCUGUCAGUUUGUCUUUUUUGGCUGUCUUCAAAGAAAUAAGCUCUAGGUUUAUAGAUGAUCUAUAGAUCUGUAAGAUCUAUAGAUUCAUACAGACUUAGAAACAGUCAAGACUGUUCAGUAAUUAAAACUUUGGUAAUUAAAUAUGUAACUGAUUCUAGUUUUCCAGAACUGGGGCAUUGCAAUGUUACAUAAGUAAGGGUUCAGCAGUCAGAUCAGAUAUUUAUAUACCGGUCAAAAGAAUAGUGGAAGAGAAACACCCACAUCAUCAGGGGUUAGUGUGGUUUAUUUAAAAUGGUGUGGUAAGUUUUGUUCAUCACAAAGGAUCUUAUUGUUACUUAAAUCAAAGAAAUGUUUCCAGGAUAUGAAGUAUAACUCAAGAAUAUGGAAAUAAGGUGAUUACUAACACAUGAACUAUGUAAUACUAAUUUUAGAUAAUUAUUUUUUUAUCACUUCCUAAUGUGAGAGUAAAUUAACUCUGUAAUUUAACUAACUUUGCGUGCAUAUUGGAAACCAGAGCUGUCAUGCUGAGGUGUUUUAUGUCUGGUAUGAAUCCAGCCUGUAUCAUAAAAAGAGUUUUGCCUUUGUAGAACUUUAAAUGUAGCUUUGGCAGGAUACAGUGUUGUAAUUUGAAAAUGCUAGGUUUGGCCUAUAUGAUGUGGCUCAAAGAUAGGAAAAGAGCAUAAGCCUGAAAUUUACUGUGCUUUUGUGUAGAGGGCUUGCAGGAAAAAAACGACCAACCAACAACUAAACAUUUGAAGCAUUUUAUUAAUUACAAUCCAAUUGUAUGUAACCCACUUGUGUAAGUAGUCCUGUGGACAUCAGUGGAACUACUUAUGUGAGGAGAAUUAACACUGAAAACAUAGACAGGUUUGGAGCUUAAAGCAAGAAUAAAAAGUAUAUUAUCAUUCUAAACAUGAAACUGUUCUGUCAAAGCACUUCCAAAGCUGUAACAUCUGCUGCUGGCAUUCCUGUUUGUCGUGGUUUAAACCCAGCCACACAGCUCGUUUGCUCAUUUCCCCCCCUUCCUCCCCCAGC
This is a long non-coding RNA of Melopsittacus undulatus (budgerigar), 2115 nucleotides long. RefSeq lists it as uncharacterized. The transcript is spliced from 3 exons. The record is from RefSeq and is a predicted model, not a curated record. NCBI's taxonomy places the organism in Eukaryota, Metazoa, Chordata, Aves, Psittaciformes, Psittaculidae.